GACGAACGCUGGCGGCGUGCUUAACACAUGCGAGUCGAACGGAAAGGCCCUGCUUUUGUGGGGUGCUCGAGUGGCGAACGGGUGAGUAACACGGGAGUAACCUGCCCUUGACUUUGGGAUAACUUGAGGAAACUGGGGCUAAUACCGGAUAGGAGCGCCUGCUGCAGGGUGGGGGUUGGAAAGUUUCGGCGGUUGGGGAUGGACUCGCGGCUUAUCAGCUUGUUGGUGGGGUAGUGGCUUACCAAGGCUUUGACGGGUAGCCGGCCUGAGAGGGUGACCGGCCACAGUGGGCCUGGGAUACGGCCCAGACUCCUACGGGAGGCAGCAGUGGGGAAUAUUGCACAAUGGGCGGAAGCCUGAUGCAGCAACGCCGCGUGCGGGAUGACGGCCUUCGGGUUGUAAACCGCUUUCGCCUGUGACGAAGCGUGAGUGACGGUAAUGGGUAAAGAAGCACCGGCUAACUACGUG
Molecule: ribosomal RNA, 468 nt
Filed under: uncultured bacterium
Lineage: Bacteria
Description: partial 16S ribosomal RNA
Rfam family: Bacterial small subunit ribosomal RNA
Source: RNAcentral